GGGGGUUCAUACAGGAGCUACCUCAUGUUGGAAAUGAACACAGGCGCAGAGGAAGAGCUGGGACAGAAGUCUGAGGCGGCUGCAGAGGAGAGUGUUAAUGAGGGGACGGCACAAGUAGAAAAGGGUCCACCGGGCUCUUUUUUAGGAGGUGGCCCCUCUCGCAUUAUAUUCUUGACUUCCCUCCAGGAGGGUCUAAUGAUGCUCUCUGAGGAUGGCGGUCUUGUGGAGGAGGAGGGGGAGGGCUGACAUACCAGGAAGAAGCGCCCCUAACGCCACGGAGGAGGUAGCCAAGAAAAGGGCGAGAGAAUGGUGUCCCCACUAGAGAGACAACUCUGUCCUCCGGAGCAGGUCGGUAAUUGUCACACACAACAGCGCUAUUUUCCAUUAACGUAAGUAUGUGCAAUGAGCUAAUAUCCAACCGAGCAAAAUGUGGGUUCAGUUGUGACUUCAAGCUGAACUCGGGAGGCCCUUAUGUUGCAAUGUAGAGUGCAGCGCGUGUAAAAAAAUCUUCAGAGACAUUUUUUUUCCAGCCGCCUCUAAGACAAACUCAUAAUUCACCCCCAUCUACCCCCAACCCCUUCUAUUUCCCAAGAAUGUCAGAGUAUCCAUAAACAAAAUCAGAGGGUACAGUAAGGUCUCUAAUCAAGGCAAUCAGUGCUGUUUUCAGAGGUGUACAGCACAGCAGCAGCGCUGGUCUCAUCUUUGUCUGUGCUUUAAUUACUUGCUUUUGCAUUUUGAUGGAGGGGGGUGAUGGGGGUGAUUGUGCCUUAUCACCUAUCUCCAAGGAUAAAAGGCUACCCAAUUACUUUGUUUGGAUGCUAAUGAUUGCAUUUCAUUAGUAGCCGCUCUUGGCCCUCCUCACCCAGUAAAUGGAUGAAUAUGCCGUAAUUUCAAUUAUUGGAAUUAUUGAAAAUUGCUUUUAAAAAGACGGCACGGGUAUCAUCAGCUUUCCACUGUGACAUAAUGCCAUUUUAAUUUCUAUAAUAGUUUUAAUUGUCAGUGGCCCCGCUGUGCAUUAAUCAUUUAAUUGUAUUGUCUUUUUCUGCUGCAAACACCUACACCCCCUCAACACCCAGACACUUUCCCGCCCCAGCUUUGAAAAUACAAAUUCCAAUCAGCACUUUCAUCUUGAGGGUGAUGAGAGAUGAUGAAAACAAAACCAAGUUCUAAGAUGGUGGUGAAUAGUUUUUCUUUCUUAGAGGUUAUUUGCAGAGGAAAUACGCAGUAUUUGGACAGCGUGUGACCUCUCAUCUAUCUAACACUCAGAUAGAUGAAUACAUGUUAAAAAAGAAGUUAAAGCUCAAUAAAGCUGUUGAAAAAAAUAAGUUUUUUUUGCAGAAAAUAUUAUAUUUUGUUGUAUUUGAAAGGCAAUGCACUGGCUGUUUUUAGGUAAUUUUGCUGUGAUAGUUUAUUUAAAAUACUCAAACACAGAAAGGUCAAAGGUCGAAGGAAUCACACAGACUGUCAAGAACAGACCCAUCGUAUCCAUAGUAAUCUACAAUGAUCCAAAACUUUAACAGUUACACUAACAUUCCAAUCUAAGAAGAAUACGGCUCAUUGCUGAUAUAUGAUUGCAAAGAUACAUUUAUUUUAUUUUUAUUUCGCCCGACAAUUGAAGAAACUUGAAAAAGAACAAUAAAGAAACAUCACAUUUCCCCAAAAAUACAGUUCUACUUUAAAGCACUUUUCAGACUAUUAGUACAUACUGGUCCAUGUUGUAUCCCUCACAUGUAUUUGUGUACAGAUGUUUUGUACUCACAUUUCACGGUUCUUUGAAGCAACCGCACGCCGUUUGCUGUGAGGCAAAAAUCAAAAGUCAAAACUACAGACUAUGUUCAUGUUUAAACACAUAAGGCCAGAAGUGCAGAACUCCACUGAAGCAGAGAUGUAAAAUCAAAUACUCGACAUGUGAAUUUCUUCCCUGUUUCACACGGGUGGAGCUGUGAGCCGCACGAGAGGAGAAGGUCUGACAGACAGCCUUGAGAAGCCCUCCACCGUCUCCUCCAUUGCUCCUCGAGAGGGAGGAGGUCAAGUGUGCCCCCUCAAACAAACACACUCGGAUGCCCAUGCAGAAUACCUUGCCAAGCCUUUUAGCCACAUCUCUUCUUCUUAAACUCACGUCAUCGAGAGAACCCGAGGCGUUGCGCAGGCUUGAACCUCUGGGGCGAUGAAGUGGGCCUACGAGCGGGCAGGAAAACACGUCAGUGUCAGGAGGAUCCAUAAAAUGCGUCCCCCCCCUAUGAAUACAUUUUAUGCCCCAACCUCCACUUUUUUCCUUUCUGCUGUGAGGAAAAUCCUUUGCGGAGGACACCACCGUCGUCUCUGUGUCACCAAAUAGGUUGCAAAACAGUUACAUGGAAAACGGGCGCUUCGGAGCUUUCUGCGAUCAGCUUCUCUGAAAGACUUUCUCACAGCUACCAGGGCGGUUUGUAGCACGGAGGAGCGCUGAAGCCAGAAAGCACAGAGCAGGGGCCCGGAUGCACCGACAUGUGGAGGAUAUACUCAGUGGCCACUUUGUUAGGUACAUCUGUACAUAGUACCACGGCCCUGCCAUGACACGCAUAACGUUGUUGUAUUUGGCUAAUUUAAUUGAUAUGGUUGUUGGAGAGGUUUGAAGUGGGUGUUGUACUGGACUACGUUAUACUGAUUUCUAAAAGGAGUAGAAUAUUAAAAACGCCUCCGAGUCCAGUACAACAACAUCACUAAGUAUGACCUCGAUGCUCAAACGUGUAAUUUAUUUAACACUUUACACAUUACAACACUGCCAACAUCAAUCAAAUAUAUAUUUUAUAAAUAUACUUGUUUGGCCUCCAGGUACACGUCUAUUCAAGUACUAACGCAAUGAUGCAAAACAAACUUGCUCAGAACUUGGUACCUGAACUCUUUGUGCGCUACUGCGCACGGAGGGACGCACAACGUAGCUGGAUGGGAUAACUGUGAUCUAUUCAAUUCUAAUCUAUGUUUUUAUAUAGGUUUACCUAAUAUGUAAAUGAGGUAUUUUAUGAGAUAAAGAUUUUUAAUCUAGCUAUUUUUUUGUUUCAAUGCAGAAUUUUUACUUCUACUCAAAAUACAGGUUCUCCCAAUAAUGUGGGUCUAUGAGCAGGGAACGCUGCUCUUAAGUGUGUUUCCACGGAACGGGCAAUGUAGACUAAAUCUUCUAUCCCCAUAUGUGAAACGCUGUGUUUUUUAUUCUUCAUAAUAACAAAUAAUUGAUUAAAUUACCAGGAACACCAACACAAUAAAUAUAUACAAUAUUUCCAGCUGUGCGCCGACUAUAUUGACGUGCAUGAACACAUGCAGGGGUCCGGUUGAGACAAUGGGUUUAACUACACAGCGGUAUUCCUAUGAGCAGAAUUCAAGACAUCUCUUUAUGAUUCCAUCACAACACGAUACAAAUGAAAGACAACAAAAUAUCAUAUUAAUUGUAGCCCGGCGAUCUCAAGGUGAAAGUCCCAGGAUCUUUGUCCCACACAUGCGUCCACCAGGCGCUGUCUUUCAAAAGUGCCAAGAAGGACAGACAGAAAGAAAGAAAAAAGUGUGUGAAAGAGGUGGAAUGUGGUGUGAAAAUAGAAAAAAAGAGUCUGAGCCAAAGAGAGGAAAGUACACUUGAUUGAGGAGCGGAUUUACAAAAGACUUGACCCUGGCCAGUUUGAAUUAUGUGACUUUGCGGAAGGGUCACAUACAGUACUCUUCAUCUGAGGUUUUCUUUUCAGCUUUUGGGUGAAAAGAAAGAGGGUCAAGAGGUCUCUCAACAUACUGUGAACAAAGAUGUAGAUUCUGUUAGUGUGACUGUCCAAAGGGACAAGACCUCGCUGACAGACAUUUUCUAUUGUGCCAAUGCCAGCUGGUUGAAUGGCUGACUUGGGAUCAGCUCCUACACAAUUGUGCCACCUUCUGGAAUAAAUGGGAGAAUCCAUCAAGGCCUUUGAGCAAAGGGGAGGUAAAGAGAAUCUGCAGUUCUUUGGCACAGAUGAGUAUGUUUGGGUCUGGGCAGGUUUGCUUCAUGAGAAUAAGCUUCGACAUAUGAAAUGCACAGUGAAUUCAUUUUUACUUACCAAUCAUUUGUCCUGGAUCUUUGUUAGAAGAACCGUUCUACUUGCCUGGAUCCUUACCUUUAUUAUGGUAAUAAUAACAUUAAAAGUGGCAGGAUUUAAUGAUGAUUGAUGAUAACUGUGACAACAAAAUGAAAUAUGUAUAUAUACAUAUAUAUUCAGGGCCAAGCCUGUAAAUAUUGAUGAAGUGUAUAUGAAAAUAUUUGAUUAUACUGUGAUGAUAAAUACUCCUGACACUGACAUUUUGUGUGUAGAUAAUUAUUUGCAAAAAUUAACAGUAAAGAAAGAAAUGUUAUCAUCAACGAUGAUAAGACGCUUAAAAUCGGAUACAUACAGACAAUCCUUCUACCAAUUAAUUAAACCCAGUUUAGUAUUUCAGUCAGUAAACACCACAGCAAUUCAACAUUUUCUUUUUUGUAAAUUGGACAAUGAUGGGGAAUUCAUUUUUACCUGUCUGAAUCAGUUAUUUAAAGACGCUUCCUUUUACUCACGCAAAAUAAAUUUUAAAGAACCCUUUUAGGAAAUGAUUUGGAUAUUAUUGACCCGCAAAAG
Gasterosteus aculeatus aculeatus (three-spined stickleback) is the source of this 4604-nucleotide long non-coding RNA. The record is from Ensembl. Lineage: Eukaryota; Metazoa; Chordata; Actinopteri; Perciformes; Gasterosteidae.